CGGGACGGGUGAGUAACGCGUGGGUAACCUGCCCUGUACAGGGGGAUAACAGUUAGAAAUGGCUGCUAAUACCGCAUAAGCGCACAGUGCCGCAUGGUACAGUGUGAAAAACUCCGGUGGUAUGAGAUGGACCCGCGUUGGAUUAGCUAGUUGGCAGGGUAACGGCUUACCAAGGCGACGAUCCAUAGCCGGCCUGAGAGGGUGGACGGCCACAUUGGGACUGAGACACGGCCCAG
Molecule: ribosomal RNA, 236 nt
Filed under: uncultured bacterium
Lineage: Bacteria
Description: partial 16S ribosomal RNA
Rfam family: Bacterial small subunit ribosomal RNA
Source: RNAcentral